Molecule: long non-coding RNA, 335 nt
Organism: Ornithodoros turicata
Lineage: Eukaryota; Metazoa; Arthropoda; Arachnida; Ixodida; Argasidae
Exons: 3
Source: RefSeq, a predicted model, not a curated record
CUGUUCUGAGUUAUUACACGUGUCAUUCCUACUGUUCCAACUCACUCCGAUACUCAUUUUCUCAAGAGCUGUAGAAGAAGAGUAACAUCCACUCUACUACAUCGUGAGAAUAUGGUCCUCGCCUGGCGCCUCGUUCUGGUCGUUGCUAUGUUGAUGCCUGUGGUCAUGGGAUAUCCCGAUGUCUCCCAAGAAGCUGAUACGUGUAUUCCGGAUGACGCUUCGUGCCAGCGGCACGAGGAAUGCUGCAGCAAGUUCUGCUACUUCUCCUUCUUGGACCCGGAAGUGCAUUUUUGCUUGUAAUGACUUCAGGCUUACGAAUAAAGUAUUUCGACUAA